GCCGGGCACAGUGGCGCAUGCCCGUAGUCCCAGCUACUCAGGAGGCUGAGGUGAAAGGAUUGCUUGAGCCCAGGAGUUCUGGGCUGUAAUGUGCUAUGCCAAUUGGGUGUCCACACUAAGUUCGGCGUCAAUAUGGUGACCUCCCGGGAGCGGGGGACCACCAGGUUGCCUAAGGAGGGGUGAACCGGCCCAGGUCAGAAAUGGAGCGGGUCAAAACUCCCAUGCUGAUCAGUAGUGGGAUCGUGCCUGUGAAUAGCCACUGCACUCCAGCCUGGGCAACAUAGCGAGACUCCAUCUCU
This 299-nucleotide signal recognition particle RNA is filed under the name Aotus nancymaae (Ma's night monkey). RNAcentral's name for it is "Metazoan signal recognition particle RNA (ENSANAG00000001338.1)". It matches the Rfam family "Metazoan signal recognition particle RNA". Rfam says of the family: The signal recognition particle (SRP) is a universally conserved ribonucleoprotein. It is involved in the co-translational targeting of proteins to membranes. The record is from RNAcentral. Lineage: Eukaryota; Metazoa; Chordata; Mammalia; Primates; Aotidae.